UGUUGCCCAGGUUGGAGUGCAAUGGUUCAAUCUCGGCUCACCGCAACCUCUGCCUCCCGGGUUCAUGCAAUUCUUCUGCCUCAGCCUCCCAAGUAGCUGGGAUUACAGGUGCACACCACCAUACCUGGCUAAUUUUUUUGUAUUUUUAGUAGAGACGGGGUUUCACUAUGUUGGCCAGACUGGUCUCGAACUCCUGACCUCAUGGUCUGCCCGCCUCAGCCUCCCAAAGUGUUGGGAUUACAGGCAUGAGCCACUGCCCCUGGCCUUGAUCUCUUAAUUGCUUCCCUUUUUCCUCAGAGUUACAUUUUCCCCACUCUAAUCUGUCUCCCUGCAGUUCAGGCAUCUUCUUCUCUGACCUUUCAAGCCUCUUGUUCACACCACACACAGAUGAGGGAGAUUAUCUGCUUAUUUCUCACCCAAGGGAGAGAGCUCCAGGGGAGAGUCAGAACCAGGAUCAGAGCCGAGAGCCAGAGCCAGAUGCUGCUGCUGAAUGAGACAGCGGAGAUGCAAAAGCAAAGCCAGAGCCAUCCGUCAGCCCAGUAUUUGUAAUGGGUGCAGGGUUUGAAUGUUUGCAGGGUGCUUUGGCAUGGAGCAGUCCAUCUGGUUUUCAUCACCAUGACCAUGUAAGUAGGAAAUAUUCUGAUUUUCCAGAUGAGAAAACAGGCUCAGAAGGUUCAGUCACUUGCUCCAGUACAUAUGGCUACUAAUCAGUGAAGAACAGCCUCAAAUCCAGGUUUGUCUCACCCCAGGUCUCCCACUCUUUUUACUGCACUGGCAUAAACUUUGACCUGUGAGGGAACAGUUAACUGUCCCAGACGGAAUGGGUGGCCCCCCUCUCCAAGAGACUUGAAGAUUUGGGACCUUCUACUCUUCUACAUUUUGAGUUUGGGAGAGAACCGUAUCUUUAUCUCAUAUUUACUACAAAAACAAUCUGUGCAACAAAGCAUUCCCCAAUCACCCUAUUUAAAAUUAUCACCACCCCAAAAUUCCAUAUACCUCACUCCCAUUUUUCCCUUCAUGAACUUAUUACAUCCACUAUGCUAAGUAUUUUACUUAUUGUCUUUCUAUCACCACUCCCACCCAGGAAUAUAAGUGUCAUGAUGGCAAAAAUUUUUGUCUGUUUUGUUUGCUACUGUAUCCCUCACUUUAUAAUGUUUGACAUAUAAUAGGUGCUCAAUAAAAAUGUAUUUACAAGGCUGGACAUGGUGGCUCAUGCCCAUACUCCCAGCACUUUAGGAGGGCGAGGUGGGAGAAUUGCUUGAAGCCAGAAGUUCGAGACCAGUCUGAGCAACAUAGCAAGUAAGACCCCAUCUCUACAAAAACAUUUUUAAAAAUUAGCCAGGCAUGGUGGUGCAUGCCUGUGGCCCCAGCUAUCCCAGAGGCUGAGGCAGGAGGAUCACUUGAGCCCAGGAGGUUGAGGCUGCAGUGAGCUAUAAUUGCAUUGCUACACUCCAGCCUGGGCAACAAAGUAAGACUCUGUCUCUUAAAAGAAGAAAAAAUGUUAUUUACAAAAUGAACAAGGAAGCCAGAGCCAAGUUUCUUGUAUCACAGUCAAAAACAUGGAUCCACCAUGGAACCUCUCAAGUGCUGCUGGGGUCCUGAAAUGUUUGUCUCCCACCCCAUCCGAGAACUUAGACUGUACUGACAGAAGUCACUGGCUACACAGGGACCCGUGUUCAUCCCAAAGUGAGGACAGCAGCUGGGUCUCAAGGCCUCUUUAUUACACGAGAUGCUAAUGGGACUCAUUAAAAGCUUCUCAUUACCCAGCUAAUUACAGGGCUGUGUGGGCAAAGAACAUGGGCCAGAACCCAGGGUUGGGAGCAUUUGGUAGGAUGAGGAGAGAAGUGGGAAGCUGUUUACAUGCAAAUGGCAUGACUGGUUCAUUCCUGUGAGGAGCCCAGGUGCUGUUCCUAAUUGGUUCCAUCCAUCUCCCUCCUCCUCCUCUCCUAACCCCACCAAUCUGGAGCUGAAGGCCCAAGCUGGGCAGGCUGGAGGGAGUUGGGUGUGUAAGAGGAGGAGGUGUUAAGCCAAGAGCUGAGGACUAAAAGCCUCCUGGGUCCAAUCUCUGCAUCCACCCCUCUCCCCCACCAACCCACCCAUCCCUGCUCCCAAGCCCUGGCACCAGGGAAGCAGGGCUUCAGCAAAGGUACACCAUAAAUAAUGUCCUUUGAUGAUGCAGCAUCUCAAAGAGGAUGGCAGGAGCCAAGGAUGGUGGGGGAGCCGGGGCGGGGGGUGCGGGGAACAAGGGGAUGGCAGGGAGAGUUGAUCACCCCUUGAUCUCUGGGAUUAGCAAAGACUUGAAAGAGCUAAUGCUAGGCUAUGUUGGAGAGGUGAUGAGAGAGGGAGGUAUUGGAGGGCUAGGACAGCCUGGGCUUCAUUUUGCCUACAAAUCAUAUGGAAAUGACAUGUAAAGUGGGUGUUGCAGCUAUAGAGUCCCCAAGUGUUUUUUCUUGAACACCCACCCUUUAUUUGAGCCACAUCUCAGAUGAUGUCCCUGGCCUAGAGGAGCAGGGUACUUGGAGUCCAGGGUCCUUAGCAGCUCCUCCCCUGCAACUUCCCCUCUUUGCUGCUAUGAUGGGUUAGGGAUGAGGCCAGGAAAAGGUGUGUACAGUUGUGCUGUGUUGAGACAGGUUAGUCAGCAAUUCACUGAGGGCCAGAGGUGGAAGCAGACCCUGCUAAGCUCUCACAGACCACAGAUCUAAAUUUUACUGUGACUACAUGAGCAGCUUGUUCCCCAAAGGUAGAGGCCAGACAGAAGGUAGAGACAAGACAGACAAGACAGAAUCUAUGAGAAAAUAGAUAUGAGGGGGAGUAGGAAAAUAUUUAAAGCAUUUUACAAAAUAUUACAUAUUGAUAUUAGUCAGAGCUCACAGAAACAGGGACAAUGAGAUGGUGUGAGAUAGUUGGGAGGGUGAGAAAAAGAUAAUGACAAUGACGCAGGAAAAAUAAAGGAAGAGGAGAGGAAAGGGCCAGGUUACAGGGAUGGGAGGGUCUUGAUGAGGGAGCCUCAUCAAGUGAGUGAUGUGAAGUGCCACCUGCUGCAGGCCCCAGCUGUGGGACAGAGACGAGCAAGAUAACUGUUGGCAGCAGUUUGGCAUCUCGGGUGUGUGAGAAGGAAGGGGGUGUCGGGGAGGCUGGUGUGAUGGAGCCCUGUGCUGUGUGUGGGAGUAGAAGGGGUGAUGGCGUUCCCAAGUACAGGAGACCCUGCAUUCCCCAGCACCCCAGCAUACAUAAGCCCUCCAGCCUUGGGCUGCUUUUCAGGCUAAAUCGCCAAAGGACCCCAGUUUCUGCCAAGACAGGGAUGCUCACUUCUUUCCUCCAGGGACACACUUAAUGAAUCAGUCCACUGGCCACCUGCGACCUGAGCCCCAUCCUUAACUCCCCCCGCAGCCCCUCCACCCACCGCAGUCUCUCUAAACACCCCCCCAGAGCUCAGCCGGUCAAGGAGCCCGGAGACAAUUUUCCUUCUUUUCCUUUCUUAUUACCUCACUAGCUGGCUCCAAGGAGCUUGAGGAGGAAAAAGGGCAUGGGGGCAGGGGUCUAAGUACACCUGGGUGAAAAGAUAGGGGGAACAAGGACCCACCCACCCUGACUGAACCUUUCCAAGCCACAUGUUUUAUUAGUGUGCAGAGAGGCUGCGGGUUGGAGGAAGCUACUUUUGGAGGA
This 3666-nucleotide long non-coding RNA is filed under the name Homo sapiens (human). RNAcentral describes it as "HSALNT0189935". Lineage: Eukaryota; Metazoa; Chordata; Mammalia; Primates; Hominidae. The record is from RNAcentral.